This 46-nucleotide non-coding RNA is filed under the name Trichobilharzia regenti. Lineage: Eukaryota; Metazoa; Platyhelminthes; Trematoda; Strigeidida; Schistosomatidae. The record is from RNAcentral.
GUACUGCUGAAGAGAGCUCGAAUAGGACGAAACAGCUGUCCAGUAC